This is a small nuclear RNA of Eublepharis macularius, 107 nucleotides long. The record is from RefSeq and is a predicted model, not a curated record. Lineage: Eukaryota; Metazoa; Chordata; Lepidosauria; Squamata; Eublepharidae.
AUGCUCCCUUUGGCAGCACAUAUACUAACAUUGGGAUGAUACAGAGAAGCUUAGCAUGGUCCCUGCACAAAGAUAACAUUCAAAUUUAUGAAGUGUUCCAUAUUUGG